GAUGAACGCUGGCGGCGUGCUUAACACAUGCAAGUCGAACGGAAAGGCUCCUGCUUGCAGGGGUACUCGAGUGGCGAACGGGUGAGUAACACGUGGGUGAUCUGCCCUGCACUUCGGGAUAAGCCUGGGAAACUGGGUCUAAUACCGGAUAGGACGAUGGUUUGGAUGCCAUUGUGGAAAGUUUUUUCGGUGUGGGAUGAGCUCGCGGCCUAUCAGCUUGUUGGUGGGGUAAUGGCCUACCAAGGCGUCGACGGGUAGCCGGCCUGAGAGGGUGUACGGCCACAUUGGGACUGAGAUACGGCCCAGACUCCUACGGGAGGCAGCAGUGGGGAAUAUUGCACAAUGGGCGCAAGCCUGAUGCAGCGACGCCGCGUGGGGGAUGACGGCCUUCGGGUUGUAAACUCCUUUCGCUAGGGACGAAGCGCAAGUGACGGUACCUGGCGAAGAAGCACCGGCUAACUACGUG
Molecule: ribosomal RNA, 466 nt
Filed under: uncultured bacterium
Lineage: Bacteria
Description: partial 16S ribosomal RNA
Rfam family: Bacterial small subunit ribosomal RNA
Source: RNAcentral